This 67-nucleotide transfer RNA is filed under the name Erignathus barbatus (bearded seal). RNAcentral's name for it is "tRNA-Pro". It matches the Rfam family "tRNA". From Rfam's summary of the family: Transfer RNA (tRNA) molecules are approximately 80 nucleotides in length. Their secondary structure includes four short double-helical elements and three loops (D, anti-codon, and T loops). Lineage: Eukaryota; Metazoa; Chordata; Mammalia; Carnivora; Phocidae. The record is from RNAcentral.
CAGGGAAUAGUUUAAAUAGAAUGUCAGCUUUGGGUGCUGAUGGUGGGGGUUCGUUCCUCUUCCUUGA